AACGCACAUUGCACCUUCUGGUAUUCCGGGAGGUAUGCCUGUUCGAGCGUCAUUACAACCCUCACGCCUCGCGUGGUAUUGGACUCGCCCUCCUGGGCCUGUCUCAAAGUCAGUGGCGGCUUCAGUGAAGUUCCUAGGCGUAGUACUACUAAUCGCUUCUGUAACUCUGCUCAAAGCCCGCCAGCCAACCCCCACCAUACAAGGUUGACCUCGGAUCAGGUAGGGAUACCCGCUGAACUUAA
Molecule: unclassified non-coding RNA, 242 nt
Filed under: uncultured fungus
Lineage: Eukaryota; Fungi
Description: sequence contains ITS2
Source: RNAcentral